UACAGAGGUCCCAAGCGUUGUUCGGAAUUACUGGGCGUAAAGGGCUCGUAGGUGGCCAACUAAGUCAGACGUGAAAUCCCCAGGCUCAACCUGGGAACUGCGUCUGAUACUGGAUGGCUUGAGUUCGGGAGAGGGAUGCGGAAUUCCAGGUGUAGCGGUGAAAUGCGUAGAUAUCUGGAGGAACACCGGUGGCGAAGGCGGCAUCCUGGACCGACACUGACGCUGAGGAGCGAAAGCCAGGGGAGCAAACGGG
This 253-nucleotide ribosomal RNA is filed under the name uncultured bacterium. RNAcentral's name for it is "partial 16S ribosomal RNA". It matches the Rfam family "Bacterial small subunit ribosomal RNA", at positions 524 to 776 of the family's 1533-position model. The record is from RNAcentral.